CGGAAGGGCACCACCAGGAGUGGAAUCUGCGGCUUAAUUUGACUCAACGCGGGAAAACUCACCAGGUCAGGACACGGUAAGGAUUGACGGACUGAAGGCUCUUUCUCGAUUCCGUGGAAAGUGGUGCAUGGCCGUUUUUGGUUGGUGGAUCGAUCCGUCUGGUUAAUUCCGUUAACGAACGAGACCUCGGCACUCCGAAUAGCGCGGCGGACGUCGCGGCCUCCGGGCCGUCUUCCGCACGAGCUUCUUAGAGGGACCGUCCCCCCGCCGGGGAAGGAGGUGCGAGGCAACGACAGGUCUGUGAUGCCCUUAGAUGUUCUGGGCCGCACGCGCAUUACACUGACGCGUCCAACGGGUGACUCCCGACCCGAAGGGGCCGGGGAAUCCGCAAGGCGCGUCGUGAUGGGGAUUGAACGUUGCAAUUGUUGUUCACGAACGAGGAAUUCCUAGUAGGCGCGGGUCAUCAACCCGCGCCGAUUACGUCCCU
RNAcentral lists this ribosomal RNA (487 nucleotides) under uncultured eukaryote. Its description in RNAcentral is "bacterial SSU rRNA". It matches the Rfam family "Eukaryotic small subunit ribosomal RNA", at positions 1157 to 1654 of the family's 1831-position model. The record is from RNAcentral.